CGAGAUCAUUAGCGAACAAGUGCCAUGCCAGUAUCAGCUCACUGAAUGAACAGUGACAGUGGAGCAGACAAGUCACUCUCUAGUUACUCUCCCCAAGAGAGCCCUUCACUUCCAUUCACACAACCUGAACAAAGGCGGCUAAAUUAGUCCCUGGACAACUGUCUUGGGGCUUUUUUUGGGGGGGGAGCCCGCUCAGGCGGACUGAGUGCAGAAUGACUUCCUUGUGAGCUCUACCACCGGCCUAGAUUAGACAUUUCCGCCUGCCUUUUUAAUCACUUGUUAAUUAGCAGCACGGCGACUGGAUGAAGUCAUUAAGGGGUUCACUGGCAGAAGAAAUUAAUCAACACCUCAGAGCUUGUUUAAUAUGCUGAAAUCAAUACAGCCAUUGUUUCUCUUCGGGGUCUUUUAUUGAAUUUCCUUCUUUCAAGGCCCAGACUGAGAUAUCACAACUCCAUGCCAUCACUUUUGAUGUUUUUCUCCCUUUCUGGUCCUGGUUGCAGUUUAAACAGAGACAAUACCUGCUGCUCAUCUGUGUGGUGUUCCCAAACCAGCUGAGGGACAUAAUCUCUCCAGUGUGUCCUGGGUCUAUCCUGGGGCUUUCUCCUGGUAGGAGACGUAGCAGACCUUUCAGUAUUCUGCAUAUCACAGAAAUGGCAGGAUGACAUCAAGUGCUAUUGUUUUGUCAGAGCGACUGGCAUCUCUUGGAAAUGCACAAGCUGUCCUUUGACGUCGUUGCCUGGACACACC
Molecule: long non-coding RNA, 747 nt
Organism: Maylandia zebra (zebra mbuna)
Lineage: Eukaryota; Metazoa; Chordata; Actinopteri; Cichliformes; Cichlidae
Source: RefSeq, a predicted model, not a curated record